ACAUCACAGAGGGUGAGAAUCCCGUACGUGGUCGCCUGCCUUCGCCGUGUAAAGCCCCUUCGACGAGUCGAGUUGUUUGGGAAUGCAGCUCUAAAUGGGAGGUAAAUUUCUUCUAAAGCUAAAUACCGGCCAGAGACCGAUAGCGCACAAGUAGAGUGAUCGAAAGAUGAAAAGCACUUUGGAAAGAGAGUCAAACAGCACGUGAAAUUGUUGAAAGGGAAGCGCUUGCAGCCAGACUUGCUCGCAGUUGCUCAUCCGGGUCCGCCCGGAGCACUCUUCUGCGAGCAGGCCAGCAUCAGUUUGGGCGACCGGAUAAAGGCCUCUGUCAUGUAUCUUCCUUCGGGAUGACCUUAUAGGGGAGGCGUAAUGCGGCCAGCCCGGACUGAGGUCCGCGCAUCUGCUAGGAUGCUGGCGUAAUGGCUGUAAGCGGCCCGUCUUGAAACACGGAUCAAGGAGUCUAACAUCUAUGCGAGUGUUUGGGUGUCAAGCCCGGGCGCGUAAUGAAAGUGAACGGAGGUGGGAACCCUCUUCGGGGGGUGCACCAUCGACCGAUCCUGAUGUCUUCGGAUGGAUUUGAGUAAGAGCAUAGCUGUUGGGACCCGAAAGAUGGUGAACUAUGCUUGAAUAGGGUGAAGCCAGAGGAAACUCUGGUGGAGGCUCGCAGCGGUUCUGACGUGCAAAUCGAUCGUCAAAUUUGGGCAUAGGGGCGAAAGACUAAUCGAACUAUCUAGUAGCUGGUUCCUGCCGAAGUUUCCCUCAGAUAGCAGUAACGUAUUCAGUUUUAUGAGGUAAAGCGAAUGAUUAGAGGCCUGGGGGUUGAAACAACCUUCACCUAUUCUCAAACUUUAAAUAUGUAAGAAGUCCUUGUUACUUGAUUGAACGUGGACAUUUGAAUGUACCGUUACUAGUGGGCCAUUUUUGGUAAGCAGAACUGGCGAUGCGGGAUGAACCGAACGCGGGGUUAAGGUGCCAGAAUGCACGCUCAUCAGACACCACAAAAGGUGUUAGUUCAUCUAGACAGCAGGACGGUGGCCAUGGAAGUCGGAAUCCGCUAAGGAGUGUGCAGUACCCGCUGAACUUAAGCAACCCGCAUUCCGGUUUCCAGUAUCCCCAGGCCUAGGCCGCCGUCACA
This 1132-nucleotide ribosomal RNA is filed under the name Pleosporales sp. 1 NW-2015. RNAcentral describes it as "eukaryotic LSU rRNA". It matches the Rfam family "Eukaryotic large subunit ribosomal RNA", at positions 200 to 1290 of the family's 3401-position model. The record is from RNAcentral. Lineage: Eukaryota; Fungi; Ascomycota; Dothideomycetes; Pleosporales.